This 1402-nucleotide long non-coding RNA is filed under the name Mus musculus (house mouse). RNAcentral's name for it is "long non-coding RNA chr7:143344436-143345838". The record is from RNAcentral. Lineage: Eukaryota; Metazoa; Chordata; Mammalia; Rodentia; Muridae.
UUCUUUCUUUUUCUUUUUUUUUUUAUUUUUCUGGGCUCUUUCGAUCCGGAGACUCCCAAAAAUCAAAGAAUUGACUGGAACCAGCUGAGGCUCAGGGAAGAAAUGAACCUAGGACUUUUCUGUCAGGAAGGUUCCCUCUUCACCCUAGCCUAUAGUAGCAACAGGUGCCACCUUUGGGAGAAGGCCCAGACCUGGAAUGGCAGUCUCUCUACUAGCAAAAAAAAAAGGACAGGGCUGAGCUGAUUCUCAAAGCAGACAUCCAUCCUACCCCAGCAACCCCUUCCCCUGGUGUGAAACACACGCCUCAUUAGUGCUGAGAGCCGUGGGGUGGGACUACAGACUCACCUGCAUACCCCGUGGUCCAAAUUCUCAGCCAGGUCAGCAGCUUCCCACCAACCACCCUUUCUGUCCUUUGUUCAUUUUGGCUCUAUGAAACAAAGUCUUUCUAUGAGGCCUUGGCUUGUCUGGAACUCACCAUGUAGAUCAGGUUGGCCUCAAACUUGUUGCAGUACCCCUGCCUCAGACUACAGGUGUGUGCCACCAUGCCUGACCGAAUCCUCCUUUCACAGGCCACACAUCUCCUCCCAAACCAGGCUGCUGUUCUAAGAUAUGUGUUUGUCCUGGGUAGGCACUCCCUAAGUGUCACCCUUAUUCUUUCACAUGCAAUGAGUGGGGGACAGGAUUGGUGAUGCCAUGUGCCUGUACAUCUGUGGAGGCUACCACACAGGGGGAAGCCCCUGAACAUGCAGUCUGUCUGCAAAAGGAGUGUCUGAGGAAAACUCUCAGGUCAGCAUGAGGGUAGGGCACGCUCAUAAAACCAAGGCAUGAUGCUUAGCAUGGCCGUGCUGCCUGGCAUCGGUCUCUGGAUGACUUAUGUGUGUGUAUUGCUUUAUGUGGCCCUAGUGGAACUACACAGAGCCUCCUCAGGCCAGCCUGCUACCCAAGCCUUAUUUCUGCAGGCCAACUUACAGCUUUCAUCUACCACCUUACACUUAGCUCUCCCAUCCUGAUGGCGUCAGUCCCCUUGGAUGAACAGUUUCCCGACUCCAUCUAGUCCUUUGAGAUAUCCCCUAAGACAGUCGUUGUAUGGCUACAAUAAUUCCCUCUGUCUUCGGCUUCCCUUUCUGCUUUCUUAAUUACUCCAACUAUGGUCAGAAAAUAUGAGAUGGAAAAUUCUAGAAAUAAACAAUGCACGAGUUUUUAAUUGUUUGUCUUUGUAAUACUGUUAUGAGAUUCGUGCCAUCCACCCCCUAUCCCACCUGGGAUAUGAGUGAAGUCCCUGUCAACCAAAUCCAGAGUGUUUUGCUACCUACCCCUUAGUCACUUGGUAACCGUCUCAACAGGUCUGCCUUCUGGGUGUCACAAUGCUUACCUUUAAUUUUACUUAUUAGUAAAAUAUGAU